This 301-nucleotide ribosomal RNA is filed under the name uncultured bacterium. RNAcentral describes it as "partial 16S ribosomal RNA". It matches the Rfam family "Bacterial small subunit ribosomal RNA", at positions 509 to 807 of the family's 1533-position model. The record is from RNAcentral.
CAGUCGCCGCGGGAACACGAAGGGGGCUAGCGUUGUUCGGAAUUACUGGGCGUAAAGCGCACGUAGGCGGACAUUUAAGUCAGGGGUGAAAUCCCGGGGCUCAACCCCGGAACUGCCUUUGAUACUGGGUGUCUAGAGUAUGGAAGAGGUGAGUGGAAUUCCGAGUGUAGAGGUGAAAUUCGUAGAUAUUCGGAGGAACACCAGUGGCGAAGGCGGCUCACUGGUCCAUUACUGACGCUGAGGUGCGAAAGCGUGGGGAGCAAACAGGAUUAGAUACCCGAGUAGUCCCUGUCUCUUAUAC